UGGAAACUNUCUGACUUGAGUGCAGAAGGGGAGAGUGGAAUNCCAUGUGUAGCGGUGAAAUGCGUAGAUAUAUGGAGGAACACCAGUGGCGAAAGCGGCUCUCUGNUCCGUCACUGACGCUGAGGCUCGAAAGCGUGGGUAGCGANCAGGAUUAGAUACCCUGGUAGUNCACGCCGUAAACGAUGAGUGCUAGGUGUUAGGCCCUUUCCGGGGCUUAGUGCCGGAGCUAACGCAAUAAGCACUCCGCCUGGGGAGUACGACCGCAAGGUUGAAACUCAAAGGAAUUGACGGGGGCCCGCACAAGCGGUGGAGCAUGUGGUUUAAUUCGAAGCAACGCGAAGAACCUUACCAGGUCUUGACAUCCCGAUGCUAUUCUUAGAGAUAGGAAGUUACUUCGGUACAUCGGAGACAGGUGGUGCAUGGUUGUCGUCAGCUCGUGUCGUGAGAUGUUGGGUUAAGUCCCGCAACGAGCGCAACCCUUAUUGUUAGUUGCCAUCAUUAAGUUGGGCACUCUAGCGAGACUGCCGGUAAUAAACCGGAGGAAGGUGGGGAUGACGUCAAAUCAUCAUGCCCCUUAUGACCUGGGCUACACACGUGCUACAAUGGUCGGUACAACGAGUUGCGAGCCGGUGACGGCAAGCUAAUCUCUGAAAGCCGAUCUCAGUUCGGAUUGGAGGCUGCAACUCGCCUCCAUGAAGUCGGAAUCGCUAGUAAUCGCGGAUCAGCACGCCGCGGUGAAUACGUUCCCGGGCCUUGUACACACCGCCCGUCACACCACGAGAGUUUGUAACACCCGAAGUCGGUGAGGUA
Molecule: ribosomal RNA, 810 nt
Filed under: uncultured bacterium
Lineage: Bacteria
Description: bacterial SSU rRNA
Rfam family: Bacterial small subunit ribosomal RNA
Source: RNAcentral